CGUUCAUUAGACGCCGUCCCUAUUUUUACACCUCCUGCUUCACAUCAGACCAUGGGUCGUCCUCAACCUGGAUAUGGAAUGCCUAGCAAUGCUUCAAGAAGGCUUGAUGAAACUAUGGCUACAGAAAUUGAGAGUUUGAGCUUGUCAAUCAUGGAGGCUAUGCAGAGUGUUCUGGAACUCCUAAGUGACAUGCUAUAGGCAGUAAAUCCUGGUGAUUCAGCGGUGUGAGCAAUGAAUUUUUUUCAUCUCUAUGAUCUAUGAUAUGAGCUACUUGUCCCCUUUUUUUAAUCUCUAUGAGCUACUUAUCCCUGAAACUUAAUGUGGUUCUUUUUCCAUUCUGCUCAGGCUGUAAAAGAUGAAGUGAUAGUUGAGCUUGUUAAUAGGUGCCGCACCAACCAGAAAAAGCUGAUGCAAAUGCUCACUUCAACUGGGUUGAUCUAGUGAAGGAUGGGGGACAUACAUAUUUCAUCAGGUUUCUUGAUAGCCAGGAAGCAUA
Molecule: long non-coding RNA, 496 nt
Organism: Humulus lupulus (European hop)
Lineage: Eukaryota; Viridiplantae; Streptophyta; Magnoliopsida; Rosales; Cannabaceae
Exons: 3
Source: RefSeq, a predicted model, not a curated record